UUUAAUUUUAAAUCAUAAUUGACAAUUGUCUUAGCUGAAAAGUAAUUAAAUUAUGAAGACAGUUGGUAUGGAAUUUUAAUUUCUUUAUAAUAUUAGUUCGGAGCUUGUGAUUAAUAGCCAGGUGUGAAUUAAAAACACAGGUAAAGAGAUUAGCGAUCAUUAGCCAAUAGCUCCCCGAGGCAUUAAUAUAGUUAUUAAGAGGGCCCUCAGGAUUAUAACACUUUACUGAAGUGACAGUUUAAUUACAUAAAAUCGAUAACAAAACAAAAAUAUGUUCAAAAUUACGAUUUUGAAACUCGAUCUUAAAGAAAUGACAGAAAUUAUUUCUGUUGAAAAAUAAAAUUUGACCUAAAUCCCAAUGAAUCAUUUAGGACUUUUGAGUUUCCAAAUCGGUCAUGUCUGGCAUAUAUGACCGUUUCCGGAC
This 424-nucleotide long non-coding RNA is filed under the name Mytilus galloprovincialis (Mediterranean mussel). Lineage: Eukaryota; Metazoa; Mollusca; Bivalvia; Mytilida; Mytilidae. The record is from RNAcentral.